UACGAUGAAGAGUUUGAUCCUGGCUCAGGAUGAACGCUAGCGGCAGGCUUAACACAUGCAAGUCGAGGGGUAUAGUUCUUCGGAACUAGAGACCGGCGCACGGGUGCGUAACGCGUAUGCAAUCUACCUUUUACAGGGGAAUAGCCCAGAGAAAUUUGGAUUAAUGCCCCAUAGUAUAGUUUUUUCGCAUGAAGAGAUUAUUAAAGUUCCAACGGUAAAAGAUGAGCAUGCGUCCCAUUAGCUAGAUGGUAAGGUAACGGCUUACCAUGGCGACGAUGGGUAGGGGUCCUGAGAGGGAGAUCCCCCACACUGGUACUGAGACACGGACCAGACUCCUACGGGAGGCAGCAGUGAGGAAUAUUGGUCAAUGGACGCAAGUCUGAACCAGCCAUGCCGCGUGCAGGAUGACGGUCCUAUGGAUUGUAAACUGCUUUUGUACGAGAAGAAACACUCCAACGUGUUGGAGCUUGACGGUAUCGUAAGAAUAAGGAUCGGCUAACUCCGUGCCAGCAGCCGCGGUAAUACGGAGGAUCCAAGCG
This 539-nucleotide ribosomal RNA is filed under the name Flavobacterium turcicum. RNAcentral describes it as "bacterial SSU rRNA". It matches the Rfam family "Bacterial small subunit ribosomal RNA", at positions 1 to 540 of the family's 1533-position model. Lineage: Bacteria; Pseudomonadati; Bacteroidota; Flavobacteriia; Flavobacteriales; Flavobacteriaceae. The record is from RNAcentral.